Molecule: non-coding RNA, 161 nt
Organism: Cucumis melo (muskmelon)
Lineage: Eukaryota; Viridiplantae; Streptophyta; Magnoliopsida; Cucurbitales; Cucurbitaceae
Source: Rfam
ACACCUUUCUCGGCCUUUUGGCUAAGAUCUAAUGCAGUAUCUAAAGGUUUCAAACUUUCAUGUUUUGUGUGUCGUGUUCUACUUCUUGCUUGCAUGUAAUUUGCUUGUGGUAUGUCUCGCCAAUUUUAUUUAAUAAUUACAGAUUGACGAGACAACGCCAU